Molecule: ribosomal RNA, 1008 nt
Filed under: uncultured bacterium
Lineage: Bacteria
Description: bacterial SSU rRNA
Rfam family: Bacterial small subunit ribosomal RNA
Source: RNAcentral
GUGCCAGCAGCCGCGGUAAUACAGAGGGUGCAAGCGUUAAUCGGAAUUACUGGGCGUAAAGCGAGCGUAGGUGGCUUGAUAAGUCAGAUGUGAAAUCCCCGGGCUUAACCUGGGAACUGCAUCUGAUACUGUUAGGCUAGAGUAGGUGAGAGGGAGGUAGAAUUUCAGGUGUAGCGGUGAAAUGCGUAGAGAUCUGAAGGAAUACCGAUGGCGAAGGCAGCCUCCUGGCAUCAUACUGACACUGAGGUUCGAAAGCGUGGGUAGCAAACAGGAUUAGAUACCCUGGUAGUCCACGCCGUAAACGAUGUCUACUAGUCGUUGGGGAACUUGAUUCCUUAGUGACGCAGCUAACGCAAUAAGUAGACCGCCUGGGGAGUACGGCCGCAAGGUUAAAACUCAAAUGAAUUGACGGGGGCCCGCACAAGCGGUGGAGCAUGUGGUUUAAUUCGAUGCAACGCGAAGAACCUUACCUGGUCUUGACAUAUCUAGAAUCCUGCAGAGAUGCGGGAGUGCCUUCGGGAAUUAGAAUACAGGUGCUGCAUGGCUGUCGUCAGCUCGUGUCGUGAGAUGUUGGGUUAAGUUCCGCAACGAGCGCAACCCUUUUCCUUAGUUACCAGCGGUUAGGCCGGGGGACUCUAAGGAUACUGCCAGUGACAAACUGGAGGAAGGCGGGGACGACGUCAAGUCAUCAUGGCCCUUACGACCAGGGCUACACACGUGCUACAAUGGUAGGUACAGAGGGCAGCUACACAGCGAUGUGAUGCGAAUCUCAAAAAGCCUAUCGUAGUCCAGGAUUGGAGUCUGCAACUCGACUCCAUGAAGUCAGAAUCGCUAGUAAUCGCGGAUCAGAAUGCCGCGGUGAAUACGUUCCCGGGCCUUGUACACACCGCCCGUCACACCAUGGGAGUUGAUUGCACCAGAAGUGGGUAGCCUAACUUUUAGAGGGCGCUCACCACGGUGUGGUCGAUGACUGGGGUGAAGUCGUAACAAGGUAACCGAAUCACUAGU